AAAGCAUUCACUACACAAUCCCUAAUCUACAAAUGAUGUAGAUUAGCAAGUGUUUGGGCAAGAAACCCAGAAAUAUUUUUGCAGGAACAAGAGGAGAGUCCGAUAGUGUUACCUGAAUUAAUGCUCCAAGUGGCACUGGAGAAGCCAAAUGAUGAGGACAGCACUGAGAGGACUUAGGGGAGGCAAUAGAGAGAUGAGUGAGAGGAACAGAAUU
Molecule: unclassified non-coding RNA, 214 nt
Filed under: Hevea brasiliensis (rubber tree)
Lineage: Eukaryota; Viridiplantae; Streptophyta; Magnoliopsida; Malpighiales; Euphorbiaceae
Source: RNAcentral